AUCNGGCUACCAUGCAGUCGAGGGGCAGCAUGAACUUAGCUUGCUAAGUUUGAUGGCGACCGGCGCACGGGUGAGUAACACGUAUCCAACCUGCCGAUGACUCGGGGAUAGCCUUUCGAAAGAAAGAUUAAUACCCGAUGGCAUAGUUCUUCCGCAUGGUAGAACUAUUAAAGNAUUUCGGUCAUCGAUGGGGAUGCGUUCCAUUAGGUUGUUGGCGGGGUAACGGCCCACCAAGCCUUCGAUGGAUAGGGGUUCUGAGAGGAAGGUCCCCCACAUUGGAACUGAGACACGGUCCAAACUCCUACGGGAGGCAGCAGUGAGGAAUAUUGGUCAAUGGACGAGAGUCUGAACCAGCCAAGUAGCGUGAAGGAUGACUGCCCUAUGGGUUGUAAACUUCUUUUAUACGGGAAUAAAGUGAGGCACGUGUGCCUUUUUGUAUGUACCGUAUGAAUAAGGAUCGGCUAACUCCGUGCCAGCAGCCGCGGUAAUACGGAGGAUCCGAGCGUUAUCCGGAUUUAUUGGGUUUAAAGGGAGCGUAGGCGGACGCUUAAGUCAGUUGUGAAAGUUUGCGGCUCAACCGUAAAAUUGCAGUUGAUACUGGGUGUCUUGAGUACAGUAGAGGCAGGCGGAAUUCGUGGUGUAGCGGUGAAAUGCUUAGAUAUCACGAAGAACUCCGAUUGCGAAGGCAGCUUGCUGGACUGUAACUGACGCUGAUGCUCGAAAGUGUGGGUAUCAAACAGGAUUAGAUACCCUGGUAGUCCACACAGUAAACGAUGAAUACUCGCUGUUUGCGAUAUACAGUAAGCGGCCAAGCGAAAGCGUUAAGUAUUCCACCUGGGGAGUACGCCGGCAACGGUGAAACUCAAAGGAAUUGACGGGGGCCCGCACAAGCGGAGGAACAUGUGGUUUAAUUCGAUGAUACGCGAGGAACCUUACCCGGGCUUGAAUUGCAACUGAAUGAUGUGGAGACAUNUCAGCCGCAAGGCAGUUGUGAAGGUGCUGCAUGGUUGUCGUCAGCUCGUGCCGUGAGGUGUCGGCUUAAGUGCCAUAACGAGCGCAACCCUUAUCGAUAGUUACCAUCAGGUUAUGCUGGGGACUCUGUCGAGACUGCCGUCGUAAGAUGUGAGGAAGGUGGGGAUGACGUCAAAUCAGCACGGCCCUUACGUCCGGGGCUACACACGUGUUACAAUGGGGGGUACAGAAGGCAGCUACACGGCGACGUGAUGCUAAUCCCGAAAGCCUCUCUCAGUUCGGAUUGGAGUCUGCAACCCGACUCCAUGAAGCUGGAUUCGCUAGUAAUCGCGCAUCAGCCACGGCGCGGUGAAUACGUUCCCGGGCCUUGUACACACCGCCCGUCAAGCCAUGAAAGCCGGGGGUACCUGAAGUGCGAACCGCAAGAGCGCCCUAGUAA
Molecule: ribosomal RNA, 1411 nt
Filed under: bacterium NLAE-zl-P168
Lineage: Bacteria
Description: bacterial SSU rRNA
Rfam family: Bacterial small subunit ribosomal RNA
Source: RNAcentral